GAGUUUGAUCCUGGCUCAGAACGAACGCUGGCGGCGUGGAUAAGACAUGCAAGUCGAACGGGAGAAUUGCUAGCUUGCUAAUAAUUCUCUAGUGGCGCACGGGUGAGUAACACGUGAGUAACCUGCCCCCGAGAGCGGGAUAGCCCUGGGAAACUGGGAUUAAUACCGCAUAGUAUCGAAAGAUUAAAGCAGCAAUGCGCUUGGGGAUGGGCUCGCGGCCUAUUAGUUAGUUGGUGAGGUAACGGCUCACCAAGGCGAUGACGGGUAGCCGGUCUGAGAGGAUGUCCGGCCACACUGGAACUGAGACACGGUCCAGACACCUACGGGUGGCAGCAGUCGAGAAUCAUUCACAAUGGGGGAAACCCUGAUGGUGCGACGCCGCGUGGGGGAAUGAAGGUCUUCGGAUUGUAAACCCCUGUCAUGUGGAGCAAAAUUAAAAAAGAUAGUACCACAAGAGGAAGAGACGGCUAACUCUGUGCC
Molecule: ribosomal RNA, 480 nt
Filed under: uncultured microorganism
Description: bacterial SSU rRNA
Rfam family: Bacterial small subunit ribosomal RNA
Source: RNAcentral